UAUGUUGCCAGGCAAGGAAAAGUGAUAUAAAUAAAGAGAGUAGGAGACCCAAAUCAAGUACAAUGUGAAAAGAAUUUAACUUUCAAUCUAUUCGUUGGCUAAUUACCAUUUGAAAAGUAAUUUGAAAGUGUUACUGUUAUUUGCUUAUAUUCUUCCUCAUUAUUAUUUUUUUUUUUCCUCUUCAGAUUGCAUUCUUACCCAAAUUCUCUUCGUGAUUGCCUGUUUUGCGGCUUUGGGAUUGUUCAAGGGAGUAGAGAACAUUCACAUGGAUGACAUCUCAGUUUUCCCAUCAUGUAAGUAUAUUUUUGGUCAUGUUUUCUCUAAUCAUAUUUAGUAAAAUAUCAAAUUCACGGAAUGUACACUUCAUUUUUAAAAAAUUCACAGGUUGAGUCCAACUUUUCAUUCACUGACAACUAACUUGAAAAUCUAAAAUUUGAUAAUUUGAGGUUUGUAUUUCCAAAUAUCAAAAAUUUCUUCCUUCUCAUAAGGCAUGUUCUUAAGUGGUCUAUUUCAAACAAAAGAAAAUGACAUUCCACUUUCAGCUAGCAAAUGUUAGAUUCUCUCAAAGCUGAUGGGGGACUCGCUUGGAAGUUUUGCCAUUAGAGUCACACAAAUUGAAUUAUAUUCAUCUUUCCCAAAUAUUGUUCUUCAAACUCUAUAAAUAUAGCAAUACUAGG
Long non-coding RNA from Bubalus bubalis (water buffalo), 677 nucleotides. RefSeq lists it as uncharacterized. The transcript is spliced from 2 exons. Lineage: Eukaryota; Metazoa; Chordata; Mammalia; Artiodactyla; Bovidae. The record is from RefSeq and is a predicted model, not a curated record.